RNAcentral lists this ribosomal RNA (484 nucleotides) under uncultured bacterium. RNAcentral's name for it is "partial 16S ribosomal RNA". It matches the Rfam family "Bacterial small subunit ribosomal RNA", at positions 30 to 507 of the family's 1533-position model. The record is from RNAcentral.
AUUGAACGCUGGCGGCAGGCCUAACACAUGCAAGUCGAGCGGAUGAAGGGAGCUUGCUCCUGGAUUCAGCGGCGGACGGGUGAGUAAUGCCUAGGAAUCUGCCUGGUAGUGGGGGAUAACGUCCGGAAACGGGCGCUAAUACCGCAUACGUCCUGAUGGAGAAAGUGGGGGAUCUUCGGACCUCACGCUAUCAGAUGAGCCUAGGUCGGAUUAGCUAGUUGGUGGGGUAAAGGCCUACCAAGGCGACGAUCCGUAACUGGUCUGAGAGGAUGAUCAGUCACACUGGGACUGAGACACGGUCCAGACUCCUACGGGAGGGAGCAGUCGGGAAUAGUGGACAAUGGGCGAAAGCCUGACCCAGCCAUGCCGCGUGUGUGAAGAAGGUCUUCGGAUCGUAAAGCACUUUAAGUGGGGAGGAAGGGCAGUAAGUUAAUACCUUGCUGUUUUGACGUUACCAACAGAAUAAGCACCGGCUAACUUCGUG